AUUGAGAGCUUGCUUUUGAUUAUUUUAGCGGCGGACGGGUGAGAACGUGUGGGCAACUUACCUUUUACUGUGGAAUAAUCGUUGGAAACGACGACUAAUACCGCAUACGGUUCUUGGAAGGCAUCUUCUAAGAAAGAAAGGAGUAAUCCGGUAAAAGAUGGGCCCGCAUCUGAUUAGCUAGUUGGUGAGAUAAUAGCCCACCAAGGCAACGAUCAGUAGCCGACCUGAGAGGGUGACCGGCCACAUUGGGACUGAGACACGGCCCAAACUCCUACGGGAGGCAGCAGUGGGGAAUAUUGCACAAUGGGCGAAAGCCUGAUGCAGCAACGCCGCGUGAAGGAAGACGGUUUUCGGAUUGUAAACUUCUAUCAAUAGGGAAGAAAGAAAUGACGGUACCUAAAUAAGAAGCCCCGGCUAACUACGUGCCAGCAGCCGCGGUAAUACGUAGGGGGCAAGCGUUAUCCGGAAUUACUGGGUGUAAAGGGAGAGUAGGCGGCAAGGUAAGCGAUAUGUGAAAGCCUUAAGCUUAACUUAAGGAUGGCAUAACGAACUAUCUAGCUAGAGUACAGGAGAGGAAAGCGGAAUUCCUAGUGUAGCGGUGAAAUGCGUAGAUAUUAGGAAGAACACCAGUGGCGAAGGCGGCUUUCUGGACUGAAACUGACGCUGAGGCUCGAAAGCGUGGGGAGCGAACAGGAUUAGAUACCCUGGUAGUCCACGCUGUAAACGAUGAGUGCUAGGUGUCGGGGAGGAAUUCCCGGUGCCGGAGCAAACGCAAUAAGCACUCCACCUGGGGAGUACGACCGCAAGGUUGAAACUCAAAGGAAUUGACGGGGGCCCGCACAAGCGGUGGAGCAUGUGGUUUAAUUCGAAAGCACGCGAAGAACCUUACCAAGGCUUGACAUACCUU
RNAcentral lists this ribosomal RNA (907 nucleotides) under uncultured bacterium. Its description in RNAcentral is "bacterial SSU rRNA". It matches the Rfam family "Bacterial small subunit ribosomal RNA", at positions 71 to 992 of the family's 1533-position model. The record is from RNAcentral.